ACGGAGGGUGCUAGCGUUGUUCGGAAUUACUGGGCGUAAAGCGCGUGUAGGCGGUUCGGUAAGUUAAGUGUGAAAGCCCUCGGCCCAACCGAGGAAGUGCACUUAAAACUGCCGAGCUUGAGUUCGGAAGAGGGGGGUGGAAUUCCAGGUGUAGCGGUGGAAUGCGUAGAUAUCUGGAGGAACACCAGUGGCGAAGGCGACCCCCUGGUCCGCGACUGACGCUGAGACGCGAAAGCGUGGGUAGCAAACAGG
This 252-nucleotide ribosomal RNA is filed under the name uncultured bacterium. RNAcentral's name for it is "partial 16S ribosomal RNA". It matches the Rfam family "Bacterial small subunit ribosomal RNA", at positions 525 to 776 of the family's 1533-position model. The record is from RNAcentral.